RNAcentral lists this ribosomal RNA (612 nucleotides) under uncultured bacterium. RNAcentral describes it as "bacterial SSU rRNA". It matches the Rfam family "Bacterial small subunit ribosomal RNA", at positions 338 to 951 of the family's 1533-position model. The record is from RNAcentral.
CCUACGGGAGGCAGCAGUAAGGAAUAUUGGACAAUGGGCGCAAGCCUGAUCCAGCCAUGCCGCGUGAAGGAUUAAGGUCCUCUGGAUUGUAAACUUCUUUUAUAGGGGACGAAAAAAGGGCAUUCUUGUUCACUUGACGGUACCCUAUGAAUAAGCACCGGCUAACUCCGUGCCAGCAGCCGCGGUAAUACGGAGGGUGCAAGCGUUAUCCGGAUUCACUGGGUUUAAAGGGUGCGUAGGCGGGCAGGUAAGUCAGUGGUGAAAUCCUAGAGCUUAACUCUAGAACUGCCAUUGAUACUAUCUGUCUUGAAUAUUGUGGAGGUAAGCGGAAUAUGUCAUGUAGCGGUGAAAUGCUUAGAUAUGACAUAGAACACCUAUUGCGAAGGCAGCUUACUACGCAUAUAUUGACGCUGAGGCACGAAAGCGUGGGGAUCAAACAGGAUUAGAUACCCUGGUAGUCCACGCCCUAAACCGAUGGAUACUCGACAUACGCGAUACACUGUGUGUGUCUGAGCGAAAGCAUUAAGUAUCCCACCUGGGAAGUACGUCCGCAAGGAUGAAACUCAAAGGAAUUGACGGCUGAGGACGNGCGAGGCGACACGAGGGAGGAGG